CCUACGGGAGGCAGCAGUGGGGAAUAUUGCACAAUGGGCGCAAGCCUGAUGCAGCCAUGCCGCGUGUGUGAAGAAGGCCUUCGGGUUGUAAAGCACUUUCAGCGGGGAGGAAGGCGGUGAGGUUAAUAACCUCAUCGAUUGACGUUACCCGCAGAAGAAGCACCGGCUAACUCCGUGCCAGCAGCCGCGGUAAUACGGAGGGUGCAAGCGUUAAUCGGAAUUACUGGGCGUAAAGCGCACGCAGGCGGUCUGUCAAGUCGGAUGUGAAAUCCCCGGGCUCAACCUGGGAACUGCAUUCGAAACUGGCAGGCUAGAGUCUUGUAGAGGGGGGUAGAAUUCCAGGUGUAGCGGUGAAAUGCGUAGAGAUCUGGAGGAAUACCGGUGGCGAAGGCAGCCCCCUGGACAAAGACUGACGCUCAGGUGCGAAAGCGUGGGGAGCAAACAGGAUUAGAUACCCGUGUAGUC
This 465-nucleotide ribosomal RNA is filed under the name uncultured Klebsiella sp. RNAcentral's name for it is "bacterial SSU rRNA". It matches the Rfam family "Bacterial small subunit ribosomal RNA", at positions 338 to 795 of the family's 1533-position model. The record is from RNAcentral. Lineage: Bacteria; Pseudomonadati; Pseudomonadota; Gammaproteobacteria; Enterobacterales; Enterobacteriaceae.